RNAcentral lists this transfer RNA (68 nucleotides) under Callosciurus erythraeus (Pallas's squirrel). RNAcentral's name for it is "tRNA-Phe". It matches the Rfam family "tRNA". From Rfam's summary of the family: Transfer RNA (tRNA) molecules are approximately 80 nucleotides in length. Their secondary structure includes four short double-helical elements and three loops (D, anti-codon, and T loops). Further hydrogen bonds mediate the characteristic L-shaped molecular structure. tRNAs have two regions of fundamental functional importance: the anti-codon, which is responsible for specific mRNA codon recognition, and the 3' end, to which the tRNAs corresponding amino acid is attached (by aminoacyl-tRNA synthetases). tRNAs cope with the degeneracy of the genetic code in two manners: having more than one tRNA (with a specific anti-codon) for a particular amino acid; and 'wobble' base-pairing, i.e. permitting non-standard base-pairing at the 3rd anti-codon position. The record is from RNAcentral. Lineage: Eukaryota; Metazoa; Chordata; Mammalia; Rodentia; Sciuridae.
GUUUAUGUAGCUUAAAUUCAAAGCAAAGCACUGAAAAUGCUUAGAUGGGUAUUUAUACCCCAUAAACA